GAUAUGGACAUGCUAACCAUGGAUACGACCUUUGGUACCCUCAAUUCUAUAAUAUUUGACAAGAUUUAUAAUCAGGUGAAUUCAAGUAGUAAUUGUUUUCAUUUUCAUAUUUAUGAAGAGGCGGAGCUACUACUAUCUUGUCUCGUUUUAUUACGUAGGCAUCUUGUCGAGCUUUUCAAGUCCAAGGUCAAGAUGAGAUACGAUGGAGGCGAACGGGAUGGCCAACAAGAAUCAAGCAUCCAUAUAGCUG
RNAcentral lists this long non-coding RNA (250 nucleotides) under Brachypodium distachyon (stiff brome). Its description in RNAcentral is "long non-coding RNA (BDIS_LNC005508)". Lineage: Eukaryota; Viridiplantae; Streptophyta; Magnoliopsida; Poales; Poaceae. The record is from RNAcentral.